This is a long non-coding RNA of Mobula hypostoma (lesser devil ray), 1247 nucleotides long. RefSeq lists it as uncharacterized. The transcript is spliced from 3 exons. Lineage: Eukaryota; Metazoa; Chordata; Chondrichthyes; Myliobatiformes; Myliobatidae. The record is from RefSeq and is a predicted model, not a curated record.
GUGAAGGAUGACGUUGUCGGGAAGGCGCCUUUAAUUCCGACGGUGGGAGAGAGAUGGACGGGGGCGCGAGCUCGCUCUCAGUGUCGUGUGCGCGCGUGAGAGGGAGUGAAGUAACACGUUGAAGCUGCACCCUCUCUAACAUGCUGGUAGGGAGAGUUUUAUUUGGAUUUUUAGUGCUGGAAAUAGUUACAUUCCGACACGUCUCAUUAGUGGGGCAGAAGCAUAGUGGCAUUGUUUAUUCCAGGGACCAGCUGAUUGAGCUUAUGCCGGCCGGUUUAGCGAGCAGAGUGGCAGAUACCCCUGCUGAAAUCUGGAGGAAAACACAUAGAGGAUGCAGAGGGGGAUUACAAAGGCGAGGAAAGAGGACCGGGUCGAGACAAUAGAGACCUAUGGAGAAGAGGAGUUCGGUGGGUAAUAAAAUGGACAUGUUGAUGGUGCUAGCCAGGAGUCAGAGAACAUUUCGAGAGUGCAGUGUUAUGUGUUUCACUGGAACGGGGCUGCAUGAGGACAUACCCGAUCAAAACUUCUCCAUGGAUGGCUUCCAGACCGUUUGGGCUGACCGGAAGUGCACUGAGAGCGGGCUAUGGUAGGAAACUUUGUCACAUGGUGUGAGCAGAAUUAUCUGCAGCUUUAUGUGAAAAAGACUAAGGAGCUGGUGGUAGACCUGAGGAGAGCUAAGGUACUGGUGACCCCUGUUUCCAUCCAGGGAGUCAGUGUGGACAUGGUGGAGGAUUACAAAUACCUGGGGAUAUGAAUUGACAAUAAACUGGACUGGUCAAAGAACACUGAGGCUGUCUACAAGAAGGGUCAGAGCCGUCUCUAUUUCCUGAGGAGACUGAGGUCCUUUAACACCUGCCGGACGAUGCUGAGGAUGUUCUGUGAGACUGUGGUGGCCAGUGUGAUCAUGUUUGCUGUUGUGUGCUGGGGCAGCAGGCUGAGGGUAGCAGACACCAACAGAAUCAACAAACUCAUUCGUAAGGCCAGUGAUGUUGUGGGGAUGGAACUGGACUCUCUGACGGUGGUGUCUGAAAAGAGGAUGCUGUCCAAGUUGCAUGCCAUCUUGGACAAUGUCUCCCAUCCACUACAUAAUGUACUGGUUGGGCCCAGGAGUACGUUCAGCCAGAGACUCAUUCCACCGAGAUGCAACACAGAGCGUCAUAGGAAGUCAUUCCUGCCUGUGGCCAUCAAACUUUACAACUCCUCCCUUGGAGGGUCAGACACACUGAGCCAAUAGGCUGGUCCUGGAC